GGCGGCGGGGUGUCGGGAGGGCUGCGCUCGAGGGGUCGGGCACCCCCAGGCGGAGCAAGCGGGAGUAGAUGCGGAGUCCUUCCUCACCGCGCGCUCUGGAACAUCUGGGGGAACUAGGAUGAGUGCAUAGGAUCUAAGAUAAGUCGUUUCUAGCCGCCCGGGCUCUCGGAGUGCCAGGCACUCAACCGGCGCUCGAUAAAUAUUUGUUGAAUGAAUGAGCAGCUGACUACUGCGUUCACCCCCUAGAGCUUUCGUUGUCACCACAAGAGCCGGAAGCCGGACUCCAAGGCAAACGUGAUCUCCUGUGGCCAUGGUUCAUAGCCUUCAAAGCAGGAACAUUUGUCUUCUGGUAAAUAGAGAGCUAAUGCGAAGGAGCCGGGCUCCUCAGAAGUAUCAAGUAGUUUCUUAGGGGAGCCCCUGAGCGAGAAUUAUGUAGCGAGUUCUGACUUGGAAAUCUUAUGUCCCCGAAAAACACCUGGGCUCCUCCCCAGCUGAAGAGACUCAGACCCAGCUGAAGAAAUUUAGACCUACAUGGUCCAGGGGAAAGCCCGCCCCAAAGACCUCCCUUUUCCAGCAGCCCAGAGACUGUUCCUGCGGGGAAGGGGACGAGCACAUCCGAAUCUUUCCUGUUCACUAGCUGCAUUGUUCAAAGAGUCAAACGCAGGGACUGCACAUUUGAACAGCCCUGAGCUGUUGGCGUCCUCUGAAACUCUCCUCCUGGAACUCACUUCCAUCUGGAGAGACCUCAAGAAUGAAGAUUGGAUCCGAGUCCCAGGUCUGACUUCAUACCUUCCUCAGCAAUUCUCCAUGUGGACCUCAUUCAACAUAACUGGAUUUUUACCAAAAUGACUUCAGCUGCCUCACCCCCACCCCCCAACACACACUCCCUCCACCCUGCCUCCAUCCCCACCCCACUACCUCGAAUUGAAGGCUUUUUGCAAAACUUGAGGUUUGAAUUUGGACACUGGCUAUUUCAAGUGUGACAAUAAUUGCAAUAAGAGGGUUGGAGGAAAAUGGAAAAUUUUAAUUACAGCUUUCAGGAUGUUUAUUCUUUUUCCUCCGAAGACUGAAGUCCACCCACUUUGUUAUAUCAGAUGGUUAAAUCCCAAUUUGAAAGUCCAUUUAAAUCAUAAAAGCAGAGCUAUUCAAAGUCUUUUAUUAAAAUGUGGCUGAAAAUUAAAAAGUCAACUAGAUGGGUAAGUGGAAUAACAGCAAGAUUCCCAGAAAUACCCUUUUCUUUUUCCUCUGAUAUUUUUUCAGAGGAAACAUCAAGCAUAUUCCACAACCAGGGAUAUUCGGACUCCAAAACCCACCCAUAUACAAACACAAAUAAGCACUCACAAGCACUAGCUUGCUCUGUUGGAAAGUGCCUUGGAGAAAGAAAUGAGGAUAAAUGAAUUUGGAGGCUAGUUACGAUGUCAGUGAGAAUAGAGAGAUGUGAAGACGGCUGGCAAGCGCUUUACUUCCUCCACUGAUUACCAGGUUUAUUUUCCCAAAUCUGGCGGACUAAAUUGAAUCUUUCAAAGAAGCUAAGGGUUCAGUUAAAGAAAAAAUUCUUUUCUAGGUAGAGGAAACUCAUUCUUUGAUCCCGCAUACGAGUGGAGUUUCUUGUUGUUUAGUCACUAAGUCAUGUCCUACNNNNNNNNNNNNNNNNNNNNNNNNNNNNNNNNNNNNNNNNNCCAUGAGAUUUCCCAGGCAAGAAUACUAGAGUGGGUUGCCAUUUCCUUCUGCAGAGGAUCUUCCUGACCCAGAGACUGAACCCACGUCUCCUGCAUUGGCAGGUGUAUUCUUUAUCACUGAGCCACCUAGGAAGCCAGAGUGGAGUUACUAGAACUACAAAAAAAAGGGGAGAAGGGAUAUAUUUGACUCUAAACACUGCUUUUCAGUCUUCUUAGGGCAAAUGCUUCAGGACAGGGUGAUACGUUGUAAUUUGAGACCCCUGAGCUAAACUGGACAAAGGAAUGGAUAUCUACAGCCCUAGAAACACCUUUUUNNNNNNNNNNNNNNNNNNNNNNNNNNNNNNNNNNNNNNNNNNNNNNNNNNNNNNNNNNNNNNNNNNNNNNNNNNNNNNNNNNNNNNNNNNNNNNNNNNNGCUAAACUGGACAAAGGAAUGGAUAUCUACAGCCCUAGAAACACCUUUUUUCAUAUGACCUGAAGAUUCCCAUCACUGUCUACUCUCUGUCCUCAAAUACCCUGGCCUAAGCAUCUCUGGGUCCGUCCUUGGCUCUGCUCUGUGACUUUGGAGGUCCGGUUUCUCUGAUGAAUGGGGAGAUGAUGAUCAGGGCUCUAAAGCUGUUCAUAUCUUCAGCCCCAUCACUGAGAGAUUGAUGCUUGGUGAACAGUUUCAUAACAAGAAGCUUUUAGCUUUGUUUCUAGAAUACUCUAUGCUCCAAAUAUCCUUUAGGAGAAGUUGAUGAUGUGAGCAAUUUGAAGGCAUUUGUUGUUGUUCAGUCAUGUCCGACUCUUUGUGACCACAUGGACUGCAGCACACCAGGUCUCCCCAUCCCUCACUAUCUCCCGGAGUUUGCCCAAUUUCAUGUCCAUUGAGUCAGUGAUGCUAUCCAACCAUCUCAUCCUCUGGGAACAGUCGACUCAUUGGAAAAGGCCCUGAUGCUGGGAAAGAUUGAAGGCAAAAGGGGAAGGAGGCAGCAGAGGAUGAGAUAGUUGAAGUCAUUGUGCUUAGUCGCUUAGCUGCAUCCAGCUCUUUGUGACCUCAUGGACUGUAGCCUGCCAGGCUACUCUGUCCAUGGGAUUUCUCAAGCACGAAUACUGGAGUGGGUCACCAUGCCCUCCUCCAGGAGAUCUUUCCCAACCCAGGGAUCAAACCCAGGUCUCCAGCACUGUAGGAGGAUUCUU
Molecule: long non-coding RNA, 2856 nt
Filed under: Capra hircus (goat)
Lineage: Eukaryota; Metazoa; Chordata; Mammalia; Artiodactyla; Bovidae
Description: lncRNA (ENSCHIG00010023860.1)
Source: RNAcentral